Molecule: small nucleolar RNA, 126 nt
Filed under: Microcebus murinus (gray mouse lemur)
Lineage: Eukaryota; Metazoa; Chordata; Mammalia; Primates; Cheirogaleidae
Source: RNAcentral
GUGCAUGUUUCAUUGUCUUCUUUUAUGUCAAGAGAAAAGAUAGUUCUGAUAUUUCUAAACAAACCCUGGGAGUGAAUUAGCAGCAUGGCUAAUUUAGCCUUUGCUGUCAGUCACCUUCAGACAAGU